This 260-nucleotide ribosomal RNA is filed under the name uncultured bacterium. Its description in RNAcentral is "partial 16S ribosomal RNA". It matches the Rfam family "Bacterial small subunit ribosomal RNA", at positions 524 to 782 of the family's 1533-position model. The record is from RNAcentral.
GACAGAGGGUGCAAACGUUGUUCGGAAUUACUGGCGGUAAAGACGCGUGUAGGCGGUCUCGCAAGUCGGAUGUGAAAGCCCAGGGCUCAACCCUGGAAGUGCACUCGAUACUGCGAGGCUAGAGUCCCGGAGAGGAUGGUGGAACUCUCGGUGUAGAGGUGAAAUUCGUAGAUAUCGAGAAGAACACCGGUGGCGAAGGCGGCCAUCUGGACGGUGACUGACGCUGAGACGCGAAAGCGUGGGGAGCAAACAGGAUAGAA